RNAcentral lists this unclassified non-coding RNA (286 nucleotides) under Hevea brasiliensis (rubber tree). The record is from RNAcentral. Lineage: Eukaryota; Viridiplantae; Streptophyta; Magnoliopsida; Malpighiales; Euphorbiaceae.
GUGUAAGGAGGGUAAUGUGGGGAGGUAAGAGUUAUAACUAUUUUAAUUCUUACACCCCUUAAAUUUACCAUUCUUUAAUCUCUUUCCAAACAUAAAAAAUUAUAUAUUAGAUCUCUUUACCUUUCCGUUAAUUCACCCCUUUCUAAAUAUGAAUUUUUUAUAUUAUUAUAAUCCUCUUUACCCUUUCUUACCCUUCCAUUGGUUAUUCUUCCCUCACUCUAUCCAAACAUAACCUGUUAUGACAUGAACUAUCUCAUAAUUUUAACAGUUAACAGAAAUAUUCAGA